Long non-coding RNA from Drosophila subpulchrella, 483 nucleotides. RefSeq lists it as uncharacterized. The transcript has 5 exons. NCBI's taxonomy places the organism in Eukaryota, Metazoa, Arthropoda, Insecta, Diptera, Drosophilidae. The record is from RefSeq and is a predicted model, not a curated record.
CUUUUCCUUCCACGUGCAGCGUCGGAAGUCGUUCACUUUUCUUCAAAAAUUCAAAGGAAAUGUGAGAACUAUUGGAACUCGAAACCAUUUGGUUAAAUUGAAAUCAAUGCAUGCCAUGUGCAUGUGAGAAACCUCGCGACAGCAUGUGAGGUCGUUGAGACACCUCGGGACAGCAUGUGAGGUCGUUGAGACACCUCGGGACAACAUGUGAGGUCAUUGAGACACCUCGGGCAAUGAGCCUUCUGGGGACACUUCCCACAUUGCAGGUGGUACUUGCCACUUUGAGGUUAUGAGUGGUCCUGGUUACACAGAGCACAUGGAUAAUUCCAAGAAAGAAUAACUCAGUCUGAGUAGCAAUUAAAUGCCAAGAUUAAACGGAUGGACUCUAUUUAAAAGGAUGACGUUGACCAGAAACUGCAAUACACCAAAAACAUUUGAUGUUAUAUAUACAAUCUAAUAAAUAAAGUUACAAUAACCACUUAA